UACAGAGGGGGCAAGCGUUAUCCGGAGUUACUGGGCGUAAAGCGCGGGCAGGCGGCUUCGCAAGUUCGAUGUGAAAUCUCUCAGCUCAACUGGGAGCAGCCAUUGGAAACUACGGAGCUGGAGUCUGGCAGAGGUAGGCGGAAUUCCGGGUGGAGUGGUGAAAUGCGUAGAGAUCCGGAGGAACACCAGAGGCGAAGGCGGCCUACUGGGCCAGUACUGACGCUGAGCCGCGAAAGCCAGGGGAGCGAACGGG
RNAcentral lists this ribosomal RNA (253 nucleotides) under uncultured bacterium. RNAcentral's name for it is "partial 16S ribosomal RNA". It matches the Rfam family "Bacterial small subunit ribosomal RNA", at positions 524 to 776 of the family's 1533-position model. The record is from RNAcentral.